RNAcentral lists this ribosomal RNA (474 nucleotides) under uncultured bacterium. RNAcentral's name for it is "partial 16S ribosomal RNA". It matches the Rfam family "Bacterial small subunit ribosomal RNA", at positions 28 to 507 of the family's 1533-position model. The record is from RNAcentral.
GAUGAACGCUAGCGGCAGGCCUAACACAUGCAAGUCGAGGGAGGAGCCUUCGGGCUUCGACCGGCGUACGGGUGCGUAACGCGUAUACAAUCUGCCUUUCACAUAGGGAUGGCCCGAAGAAAUUUGGAUUAAUACCUAAUGGUAUAUAGAUGUGGCAUCACCUUUAUAUUAAAGCUGAGGCGGUGAAAGAUGAGUAUGCGUUCUAUUAGCUAGUUGGAGAGGUAACGGCUCCCCAAGGCGACGAUAGAUAGGGGUUCUGAGAGGGAUAUCCCCCACACUGGUACUGAGAUACGGACCAGACUCCUACGGGAGGCAGCAGUGAGGAAUAUUGGACAAUGGUCGGAAGACUGAUCCAGCCAUGCCGCGUGCAGGAAGACGGCCUUAUGGGUUGUAAACUGCUUUUGCAGGGGAAGAAUAAGGACUACGCGUAGUUUGAUGACGGUACUCUGCGAAUAAGCAUCGGCUAACUCCGUG